GGUUCACUAUCUAAUGUUUGGGUUAUUGCAGUGUAGCCGUAGAGGGGUCAUCUGAGGUCAUGCAGGUUCAGUUAUAUGAAUAUUUUGUCUUGUACUUAAAUAAAACUGCCAUACGAUUAUAUAAGCAGAAGCAAGAUCAUUAUUCUUGAGCACAGUGUAUUUAUUUUUAUUUGAUUGGAACUUUCCUAAGAUAAUAUAUAUGAUGCAAUGUGCUUGUUUCUAGCUUUUCAUCUUGUCAAUUGAAG
Molecule: unclassified non-coding RNA, 245 nt
Filed under: Hevea brasiliensis (rubber tree)
Lineage: Eukaryota; Viridiplantae; Streptophyta; Magnoliopsida; Malpighiales; Euphorbiaceae
Source: RNAcentral